Trichosurus vulpecula (common brushtail) is the source of this 658-nucleotide long non-coding RNA. RefSeq lists it as uncharacterized. The record is from RefSeq and is a predicted model, not a curated record. The transcript has 6 exons. Lineage: Eukaryota; Metazoa; Chordata; Mammalia; Diprotodontia; Phalangeridae.
UGACUAGAAGAAACUUGUCAAGUUCAUUUCCCUUUCAAUUUGUACAAGAUAACAAGAAGUUGGUUGUGGGCAUUCCCUUGUCCUUCUGUAAUAACAGCAAGUUUCUCCCCACAGCAGGGCUACCCACUACAACUAGAUUGCUUCACUAAGGUACUGCUCACUUCCCCAAUGCAGCCUGCCAUGCCAUGCCCCUCAAUGGGCCCCAUCGUCCUUGGAGACUGAGAGUCAGAAUUCCCUUAAACAAACAUUUGUCAGAUCCAGACUAUGUGCCAGUCAUGCAGGCAUGUUGCCUGUUCCAGAUAUAAUCGGACUCAGAGGCAAAAAAGAGCAAGCCAUCCAUUGCUAUGGAGGAGAGAAAAAGAGAGAAGUCAAAAUGAAGAGCAACUCAGCCAAAGGAACCAAGGCAUCAGCUAAGACCAAAGUCAUGUUUCCUGGUCCAGUUAUAAUCAGACUGUAUAAAAAGUAAACUGGAAGCAAAAGAGAGCUGGAGCCCAGGGCAUCACCCACAUCUACAAUGAAGGCUGCUACUCCAGACUCCCCAGUGGGCUCCACCCCGAGAACAGCAAGCCACUCAUUGCUACAGAGAGGGUGAAAAAGUAGACAGAAGCAGUUCAGCCAAAAGAAUCAACUGACUCCAAAGGCGUAUCCUCCAUGCCAU